Molecule: ribosomal RNA, 471 nt
Filed under: uncultured bacterium
Lineage: Bacteria
Description: bacterial SSU rRNA
Rfam family: Bacterial small subunit ribosomal RNA
Source: RNAcentral
UUCCAGACUCCUACGGGAGGCAGCCGUGGGGAAUAUUGCGCAAUGGGCGAACUCCUGACGCAGCGCCUCCUCGUGAGGGCUGCAGGUCUUCGGAUCGUCCACCUCUGUCAUCCUGGAAGAACGGUCCCUGUGCUACUCCUCCGUGAAUUUCCUUUCCCUGCAACUUCUUCACCGGCUCCCUCCUUGCCAGCCUCCGCGGUAAUACUGCGUUUGCGAGCGUUAAUCGGAAUUACUGGGCGUAAAGCGCUCGUAGGCGGUAGGUCAAGUCAAGGGGGAAAUCCCCGCGAGCAACGUGGGAACUGCCUUUGAAACUGGCAAACUGGAGUGUGUUAGAGGAUAGUGGAAUGCCAGGUGUAGGAGUGAAAUCCGUAGAGAGAGGGAGGAACAGCAGUGGCGAAGGCGACUAUCUGGCACAUAACUGACGCUGAGGAGCGAAAGCGUGGGGAGCAAACAGGAUUAGAUACCCCGGUA